GCCUAACCAUAACACGGCAACACUAUAGUUGCUCGCCAAACCACUACGAGUGAAAACUUAAAACUUAAAGGACUUGACGGUACUUCACCCAACCUAGAGGAGCCUGUCUAAUAACCGAUAACCCACGAUUAAUCCAACCACUUCUAGCCACCCAGUCUAUAUACCGCCGUCGCCAGCUCACCUUGCAAAAGAAACAAAGUGAACCAAAUAGUCAUACACUAACACGACAGGUCGAGGUGUAACUAAUGAAAUGGACUAUGAUGGGCUACAUUUUCUAAUACAGACCAUACGAAUAAAGACAUGAAACUUUCUUUUGAAGGUGGAUUUAGCAGUAAGAUGAGAACACAAUACUCAACUGAAACCAUUGCAAUGAAGUGCGUACACACCGCCCGUCAUCCCUGUCACCAAAAAGCAAAUCAACAUAUAAAAUACUUACAACAACAAAACAGGGCAAGUCGUAACAUGGUAAGCGUACUGGAAAGUGCGCUUAGAAA
Molecule: ribosomal RNA, 494 nt
Filed under: Python bivittatus (Burmese python)
Lineage: Eukaryota; Metazoa; Chordata; Lepidosauria; Squamata; Pythonidae
Description: partial 12S ribosomal RNA
Rfam family: Bacterial small subunit ribosomal RNA
Source: RNAcentral